RNAcentral lists this ribosomal RNA (731 nucleotides) under uncultured bacterium. RNAcentral describes it as "bacterial SSU rRNA". It matches the Rfam family "Bacterial small subunit ribosomal RNA", at positions 48 to 773 of the family's 1533-position model. The record is from RNAcentral.
CUAACACAUGCAAGUCGAGCGGUAGAGAGAAGCUUGCUUCUCUUGAGAGCGGCGGACGGGUGAGUAAUGCCUAGGAAUCUGCCUGGUAGUGGGGGAUAACGUUCGGAAACGGACGCUAAUACCGCAUACGUCCUACGGGAGAAAGCAGGGGACCUUCGGGCCCUUGCGCUAUCAGAUGAGCCUAGGUCGGAUUAGCUAGUUGGUGAGGUAAUGGCUCACCAAGGCGACGAUCCGUAACUGGUCUGAGAGGAUGAUCAGUCACACUGGAACUGAGACACGGUCCAGACUCCUACGGGAGGCAGCAGUGGGGAAUAUUGGACAAUGGGCGAAAGCCUGAUCCAGCCAUGCCGCGUGUGUGAAGAAGGUCUUCGGAUUGUAAAGCACUUUAAGUUGGGAGGAAGGGCAGUUACCUAAUACGUGAUUGUUUUGACGUUACCGACAGAAUAAGCACCGGCUAACUCUGUGCCAGCAGCCGCGGUAAUACAGAGGGUGCAAGCGUUAAUCGGAAUUACUGGGCGUAAAGCGCGCGUAGGUGGUUUGUUAAGUUGGAUGUGAAAUCCCCGGGCUCAACCUGGGAACUGCAUUCAAAACUGACUGACUAGAGUAUGGUAGAGGGUGGUGGAAUUUCCUGUGUAGCGGUGAAAUGCGUAGAUAUAGGAAGGAACACCAGUGGCGAAGGCGACCACCUGGACUGAUACUGACACUGAGGUGCGAAAGCGUGGGGAGCAAAC